CCCUUAGAUGUUCUGGGCCGCACGCGCGCUACACUGACUACUUCAACGAGUUGUUUCCUUGAUCGAAAGGUCUGGGUAAUCUUUGAAAGGUAGUCGUGAUGGGGAUAGAUCCUUGCAAUUUUUGAUCUUCAACGAGGAAUUCCUAGUAAACGCAAGUCAUCAGCUUGCAUUGAUUACGUCCCUGCCCUUUGUACACACCGCCCGUCGCACCUACCGAUUGAAUGGUCCGGUGAAUCUUUAGGACUGUGGCUGAGGCCUUGCCUUGUGCGGGCCUGGCCGUGGGAAUUUAGUUAAACCUUACCAUUUAGAGGAAGGUGAAGUCGUAACA
RNAcentral lists this ribosomal RNA (328 nucleotides) under uncultured eukaryote. RNAcentral describes it as "partial 18S ribosomal RNA". It matches the Rfam family "Eukaryotic small subunit ribosomal RNA", at positions 1470 to 1796 of the family's 1831-position model. The record is from RNAcentral.